GGCUUCGUGGUGUAGUGGUCAGCACGCUCGACGCAUACUCGAGAGGUCCGUGGUUCGAGUCCCGGUGGCGUAA
Molecule: non-coding RNA, 73 nt
Organism: Stegodyphus mimosarum
Lineage: Eukaryota; Metazoa; Arthropoda; Arachnida; Araneae; Eresidae
Source: Rfam